UACGUAGGGUGCAAGCGUUAAUCGGAAUUACUGGGCGUAAAGCGUGCGCAGGCGGUUAUGCAAGAAAGAGGUGAAAUCCCCGGGGUCAACCUGGGAACUGCCUUUGUGACUGCAAGGCUAGAGUACGGUAGAGGGGGAUGGAAUUCCGCGUGUAGCAGUGAAAUGCGUAGAUAUGCGGAGGAAAACCGAUGGCGAAGGCAAUCCCCUGGACCUGUACUGACGCUCAUGCACGAAAGCGUCGGGAGCAAACAGG
This 253-nucleotide ribosomal RNA is filed under the name uncultured bacterium. RNAcentral describes it as "partial 16S ribosomal RNA". It matches the Rfam family "Bacterial small subunit ribosomal RNA", at positions 524 to 776 of the family's 1533-position model. The record is from RNAcentral.